UGCGUAGGCGGUUAUUUAAGUAGGAUGUGAAAUCUCCCGGCUCAACCGGGGAACUGCGUUCUAAACUGGAUAACUUGAGUGAGAUAGAGGUGUGCGGAACUUCCGGUGGAGCGGUGAAAUGUGUUGAUAUCGGAGGGAACACCGUUGGCGAAAGCGGCACACUGGGUCUUAACUGACGCUGAGGCACGAAAGCCAGGGGAGCAAAC
Molecule: ribosomal RNA, 206 nt
Filed under: uncultured bacterium
Lineage: Bacteria
Description: partial 16S ribosomal RNA
Rfam family: Bacterial small subunit ribosomal RNA
Source: RNAcentral